GGAGGAGGAGAAGAGAGAAGGAGAGAAUAGAGUGAAAGGGGAUAUGGAUUCUUUUUCGUCGCCGCCGCCGCAUAGUGGAGCAUCCUCCCAAUUCUCGACUAAUGACAUAAUGGACCAGGUCAAAACUCAGCUUGAACAGGCAUACGCCGAGCAAUUUCUCGAGACGGUGAGGGACAAAUGCUUUGACAAGUGUAUCACCAAACCAGGGAGCAGUCUAAGUGGAAGUGAAGGUAGUUGCAUCUCAAGGUGUGUUGAUCGGUAUAUCGAGGCCACUGGUAUAAUUAGCAAAGCUCUCUUCAGUCAACGCUGAAACUGUAGUUGGGUAGAUCUCAAGGCUUGCUUGCUCAGUAAAUGCUGGAAUGCAUUAAUUAAUCUUUGAUACCCUUUGUCAUUUUCCGUUUUAAAGAAGGUUCUCAAGUAUUUUGUAAAAGAUGUUCUUCAUUAAUACUUUGUUGUUGAUGGACAGCCAAAUUUUUUUUUUAUC
RNAcentral lists this unclassified non-coding RNA (484 nucleotides) under Hevea brasiliensis (rubber tree). Lineage: Eukaryota; Viridiplantae; Streptophyta; Magnoliopsida; Malpighiales; Euphorbiaceae. The record is from RNAcentral.